Non-coding RNA from Pelobates cultripes (western spadefoot toad), 213 nucleotides. The record is from the annotation of a GenBank genome assembly. NCBI's taxonomy places the organism in Eukaryota, Metazoa, Chordata, Amphibia, Anura, Pelobatidae.
GGCAAAGCCUCUUAAUGAGACAGAAGUGGGCAUUGUUAUAAAACCCUAGAAACUAGUACUCUUCGUAGAGAAUGCAGAAAGUGUGCAGGACACUGUAACAAGACUGUAUAAUACAGAAGCAGGUGAAAAACGUAUUAAGUGAAAUAUAAAAUAGUAGGUAGCUAUGGAAGUCAUCUUUAAAAGGAUGAACAAGGAAAUGGAUGGUAUUUAUCG